This 497-nucleotide ribosomal RNA is filed under the name uncultured bacterium. RNAcentral describes it as "partial 16S ribosomal RNA". It matches the Rfam family "Bacterial small subunit ribosomal RNA", at positions 28 to 507 of the family's 1533-position model. The record is from RNAcentral.
GAUGAACGCUGGCGGCGUGCCUAAUACAUGCAAGUCGAGCGAACGGACGAGAAGCUUGCUUCUCUGAUGUUAGCGGCGGACGGGUGAGUAACACGUGGAUAACCUACCUAUAAGACUGGGAUAACUUCGGGAAACCGGAGCUAAUACCGGAUAAUAUUUUGAACCGCAUGGUUCAAAAGUGAAAGACGGUCUUGCUGUCACUUAUAGAUGGAUCCGCGCUGCAUUAGCUAGUUGGUAAGGUAACGGCUUACCAAGGCAACGAUGCAUAGCCGACCUGAGAGGGUGAUCGGCCACACGGGAAGUGAGACACGGUCCAGACUCCUACGGGAGGCAGCAGUAGAGAAUCUUCCGCGAUGGGCGAAUGCCUGACGGAGCAACGCCGCGUGAGUGAUGAAGGUCUUCGGAUCGUAAAACUCUGUUAUUAGGGAAGAACAUAUGUGUAAGUAACUGUGCACAUCUUGACGGUACCUAAUCAGAAAGCCACGGCUAACUACGUG